AUUGUAAGAAAUAUGCCGAAUAAGGAUCACGUGCAAAUAGCCUGGCUUGGUACCGUCGUCAUCGUGGUCCAGGUCAACGGUAUAUUAUGAAAGGGAAUAUCGAUCUCAGCAUAAUUUGGGAAAAGGAAAUACACGCGGGCAUUGAAGGGAAAGACAGAUUGGCUUUGACUAUUGAAAGUUUAAGUCGAUCCCGGUGACUUUUAUAUUUUGUUUGCUUUUGUUCAUUUUAUUUUUAAAUCUUAAAUUGUAAUUAAAAUAGUUAUUUUUUUUUUAAA
Molecule: long non-coding RNA, 275 nt
Organism: Anthonomus grandis grandis
Lineage: Eukaryota; Metazoa; Arthropoda; Insecta; Coleoptera; Curculionidae
Exons: 2
Source: RefSeq, a predicted model, not a curated record